GUUAUGGCUGUAACAUACAGUAAUGUUCCUGGCUUGGGAGCCAUGUUGCUAUCUGAAAAUGCUUCCUCUUAACUUGCCGCCAGUACCCUUCCAAGAUCAUUGCUGCCAAAAUGAGUUUUUUCAAAUGUUCCUAUUUUUGUUUCGUUUGCUGACCUGCAGUUGACUCGAUGCCACUUGUGUCUGUCCAGAUGCAGCGUGCUAAUUUCUGAAUGUCACAGCUGGCUGUUCCUUGAGGUUCAAAUGACAGAAGACAACCCCUCUUAGCUGGGGAGAAUUCAGAUGGAUAUGAAAGAAGGUGGCAGGACAGAUGAAGAGCUUUGUUUCUGUUCAGAUAAGCCACUAAUUCAACCACACCUGCAAAUGAUUGUGGCUCUAAGAAUAGCAGGCAGGACUAACUAGCAUGUCCCAACACAGUACACCUUAUCUUAUCUUUACUUACUGAUGCCCCAAGUCAGCUGACAGGAACCUCAUGAAGCCCAACAAGAGGAAGUGCACAGUCCUGCACCCGGGGAGAAACAACCCCAGGCAAGUUGGAAAGCAGCCUGGCAGGAAAGGCCCUGGGAAUCCCGGUGGACACCGACAUGAGUCAUCAACGUGCCCUUGCUGCUAAGGCUAUAUACAAAAUCAUGCUGCCAUUUGGCCUCCCUGUGUAUGGGCUGUCUGGGUAUUACACAAAGGUGCUUAUCAAUGGACAGUAGCAGCAGCAGAGAACUCCUGAAGCAGCACCAGCAAUUUUCAUGACCAUUUAAACAAGCAAGUACAAAAUGCAGAAUGUACUGAGAUAUCUGUGAAGAAUCAGUGCCAGAGAAGCUGUACCUCUGAACCUCCUGAGGGCGGUCCCUCUCCCAACCAUGGCGAUUCUUCUCCUUCUCAAGCAGCCACCGAGACAAUUCUGAACAGUAGGAAGAUAUUAAGAAACAAGCUUACCUUAAACC
Molecule: long non-coding RNA, 935 nt
Organism: Cygnus olor (mute swan)
Lineage: Eukaryota; Metazoa; Chordata; Aves; Anseriformes; Anatidae
Exons: 3
Source: RefSeq, a predicted model, not a curated record